This 797-nucleotide ribosomal RNA is filed under the name Escherichia coli. Its description in RNAcentral is "partial 23S ribosomal RNA". It matches the Rfam family "Bacterial large subunit ribosomal RNA", at positions 396 to 1194 of the family's 2925-position model. Lineage: Bacteria; Pseudomonadati; Pseudomonadota; Gammaproteobacteria; Enterobacterales; Enterobacteriaceae. The record is from RNAcentral.
GCUGUGAGCUCGAUGAGUAGGGCGGGACACGUGGUAUCCUGUCUGAAUAUGGGGGGACCAUCCUCCAAGGCUAAAUACUCCUGACUGACCGAUAGUGAACCAGUACCGUGAGGGAAAGGCGAAAAGAACCCCGGCGAGGGGAGUGAAAAAGAACCUGAAACCGUGUACGUACAAGCAGUGGGAGCACGCUUAGGCGUGUGACUGCGUACCUUUUGUAUAAUGGGUCAGCGACUUAUAUUCUGUAGCAAGGUUAACCGAAUAGGGGAGCCGAAGGGAAACCGAGUCUUAACUGGGCGUUAAGUUGCAGGGUAUAGACCCGAAACCCGGUGAUCUAGCCAUGGGCAGGUUGAAGGUUGGGUAACACUAACUGGAGGACCGAACCGACUAAUGUUGAAAAAUUAGCGGAUGACUUGUGGCUGGGGGUGAAAGGCCAAUCAAACCGGGAGAUAGCUGGUUCUCCCCGAAAGCUAUUUAGGUAGCGCCUCGUGAAUUCAUCUCCGGGGGUAGAGCACUGUUUCGGCAAGGGGGUCAUCCCGACUUACCAACCCGAUGCAAACUGCGAAUACCGGAGAAUGUUAUCACGGGAGACACACGGCGGGUGCUAACGUCCGUCGUGAAGAGGGAAACAACCCAGACCGCCAGCUAAGGUCCCAAAGUCAUGGUUAAGUGGGAAACGAUGUGGGAAGGCCCAGACAGCCAGGAUGUUGGCUUAGAAGCAGCCAUCAUUUAAAGAAAGCGUAAUAGCUCACUGGUCGAGUCGGCCUGCGCGGAAGAUGUAACGGGGCUAAACCAUGCAC